This 427-nucleotide ribosomal RNA is filed under the name uncultured bacterium. RNAcentral describes it as "partial 16S ribosomal RNA". It matches the Rfam family "Bacterial small subunit ribosomal RNA", at positions 355 to 774 of the family's 1533-position model. The record is from RNAcentral.
UGGGGAAUAUUGGACAAUGGGCGAAAGCCUGAUCCAGCCAUGCCGCGUGUGUGAAGAAGGUCUUCGGAUUGUAAAGCACUUUAAGUUGGGAGGAAGGGCAGUAAGUUAAUACCUUGCUGCUUUGACGUUACCGACAGAAUAAGCACCGGCUAACUCUGUGCCAGCAGCCGCGGUAAUACAGAGGGUGCAAGCGUUAAUCGGAAUUACUGGGCGUAAAGCGCGCGUAGGUGGUUUGUUAAGUUGGAUGUGAAAGCCCCGGGCUCAACCUGGGAAAUGCAUCCAAAACUGGCAAGCUAGAGUACGGUAGAGGGUGGUGGAAUUUCCUGUGUAGCGGUGAAAUGCGUAGAUAUAGGAAGGAACACCAGUGGCGAAGGCGACCACCUGGACUGAUACUGACACUGAGGUGCGAAAGCGUGGGGAGCAAACA